CAAGCUCAUGUGUUCUUUCUUUAGUAUGUGGACCCUCUGCUAUAUAUAAUCACAUAAAUGUAGAUUCUCUCUAACCAAUACAUACUAUCUCCCAGAUUUCCUCAAUCCCAUAUCCAAUCUUUUUCCCUUCUCUGGUUGGAAUUUCCCGUUUCCAAGGGCAUCAUGAAUUUCUAGUGUUCGAUAGGACCAGCACAAAAUGGAUGGAAGGGACGCAUUCUCACUUCUUGAAAAUGGAAAACAAGUGGAUAAUAGAGUGAUGCAGAGCUUCCAGAGGAGCUUUGUGCAAGUGCAAAGUCUCUUGGACCAGAACAGGUUGCUCAUCAAUGAGAUCAACCAAAACCAUGAGUCAAAGAUCCCCGAAAACCUCGGCCGUAAUGUUGGAUUGAUCAGGGAGCUCAACAACAACAUCCGCCGCGUGGUCGACGUUUACUCUGAACUCUCCCUCUCCUUCUCCAGUCCAAUGGAGGUUUCCCCUGAAGGCAAGCUUGGCCCCAAGAGACUUAGGCCUGGUUAACAAUCAGCAAGCUGUUUAAUCAUCAUGUGAUGCGGAAAUCCUCUAAUUAUUGUUAUUGUUUCUUCGAAGUGAACAAGUUUACAUCUUGCUCAUGUGAUGUGAAUCAGUGUCCUACUAUUACUGAAGGGGGAAAAAACAACUUUGGCUAUUGUUUUUUUCCUUUUGCUUUUUUUA
This is a long non-coding RNA of Zingiber officinale, 688 nucleotides long. RefSeq lists it as uncharacterized. The record is from RefSeq and is a predicted model, not a curated record. NCBI's taxonomy places the organism in Eukaryota, Viridiplantae, Streptophyta, Magnoliopsida, Zingiberales, Zingiberaceae. The transcript is spliced from 2 exons.